CCCAACCGGGGCCAAGGCCCCGUGGCAUGUGCCUCGCGAAGUCGCCCCUUCCUCCGUCGGGAGGGCAACUCGCUGGGAAACUGGACAGCGGUGCACGGCAGGGCCCUGUGAGGUGGCAGCGCAGCCCCAGCCAGGCCCAGAGCUGCGGGUCCCGCGCGGGGAGUCUGCUUUAACCGUCGUGUUUCCGGCAUUCUGACAAACAGGCAGUUCCCCGCAAAUUUGUUCUCUGAGCAGGGAACAUCUUUGCAGGCUUCUACAAAAGAGCAAAACAAAAUGUACAACACCACUGUUUAAGCAGGAAUUUCUUGUUCAGUGGCUUUUUUAAAGGUCCUUUCCCCCCAAGUUCAGUGUACUUUAUAAGUUUGCAAAUAACAUUUUAACACCGAAUGAAACUACUAACAUUAAAAGGGACAUUAAGAGAGAAGUGCAAGGUGGGCAUGGUGGUAUACGCCUGUGAUCCCAGUGACUGAGAGAGUUGAGGCAGGAGGUUGGCAAGUUCAAGGCUAGCUGGUCAAGUCAGCAAGGCUCUAUCUCAAAAGUAAAAAUUUAGAAAGGGUCGGUCGGGGGUGUAACUCAGUGGUAGAAUGCCCUGGGUUCAGUCCCCAGUACUGAAGAAAACAAAGAGGAAAUAGGAAGGUUUUCACAUUAACAUUAUCCAUUUUCGGUGUAGAAAAAUGAGAGAAUGUAGAAGAGAAAAGGAAUAAAAAUGGACUUGGUGUCCCCCUGCUGGAGCUGGACACAGCCGGAACGGUGCUGUGUGCCGAAGCGUGGCAUCCCGGCCGAGGGUGGCGGGCAGCAUCUGUCCGCACUCUGUGCUUGAGUUCCUCGGGCACUCCUUGGUGUGUAUUCCUGGGGGCUUCCAGUUUCUACUUGGGAGACCAGAGCUUAGCAAGCAGCCCCAGGCCAGGCAGAGGCUGGAGCCACUCAGGUGAGGAUUCUGAACCCCAUGAGUGUGGGUUGUCAAGCGUGGAUGUGCCCUGACACCCUCACCAAAAAUGGAGACCAGUCAGGCAGAACACCUGGUGACAUCUGCUUUGCUCCAGAACAGCUUCUGAACUGGGUCCAUGGCCUGGAAUCUAGGGACAGUGAAGAUGUUGGCCAGAACGUUCUCUGGCCAGCAGGUCCGGUGCACACAGUGCUGGCAGCUCGGGGACCUUGAAGCCCAGCAUCUGCCCGCUCACUGGGGCUCAGCACUGUGCAGCUUGUUCCCUGUGAGCCCAGCCUGCACACAUCCUUCCGGCUGGGGCGGGAGGGACAGGAGCCACCCCCUCCAUUUCUGGCCCGAGCAGGUGGGCAGCACGCCCACUCCCCAGCUCCAGCAGCUCUGUCCCCAGGUGAGGUUGGCCAUGCAUGCCCUUCCAGCAUUUGUGUACCAGACGGCUGCUGACCUCAGUCCUUUGCAGAAUAGGAAUUGAGUCACUGAGGCCAAGAGGGAUGGUGGGCCCAAUCCCGUGGGGACUCCAUGCUUUGCUAGACUGUGUAGCUCUGGCUCAACCCCAUGUAGCCUGAGAGGGGCUGACAAGCCCCCAGGGGUCUUGUGGCCUCCCCAAGUGGAUGCUGCGUGGGAUCCAAGCCCCAGGCUGAGCCAGGCACAGGUGGAAGAGUGUCCUUCCUUCGGUCACUCACACCUUGUUGAGGUUCACUUCUGCUGCCUGCCGUCCCCAUGUCACCUUGCAAAAACUUUGGAACUGACUUUGGUCAGUGUGGGCUUGAAGUGCUGUCUCAGGGGGUUGACUUUUCAUCCCUGAUUGUUGGGGUGAGGCUGGAGUAGGCAGCCUCUGAGGUGACCCCAUACCCCCUGCAGGGGGUCUGUGCAGGCCUGGCUUCCAGACCCUGAGCGAAGGGGUUGCCCCAGGAGGAGGUGGAAAGGGACCCCUGCCCUCACCCCACGAGGAGCUACUGAUCUUCAUCUCUUCACUGUGUGCCUGCACAGCAAGAGGGACUCAGAGAGUAAAUGGUCUCUUGUUUCGUUUCUCUUUUUAAACACUGGGGACUGAGCCCAGAGGUCCUCUUCCACUGACUCACACCCCCAGCCCUUUUUAUAUUUCAUUUUGAGACAAGGUCUUGCUCAGUUGUUGAGGCUGGCCUCAAACUUGCCAUCCCCCUGCCUCAGUCUACCUAAGCCUCCUGAGCAUGGGGCCACCACACCCAGACUUCAAACUUUGUAUCUUAAGAAAAGUUCAGACUUCGGGAAGAGCCAUGUGAGUGUUCCUGUGCACCCUCUGUCUGCCUCAGCGUUGACAUUUUACUUGGCCUCAGGGUGACUGUCUGCCGUGGGGAGUUAACUCCAACACAGCGUAGUGGACUAGUCCUCAGGCUGUGGUGCCCCCGGGGUCCCCCCGGGUGGGUGCCAGGACUGUGCCACCUAUGUGUUUCAGACCUGCCUGACACCUCUCUGGGUCAGGUUUGCCAUGGUGCAGGAAGACCCCUUCUGGGCUGGACGGAGCUCAAGCCUUGGUCUCCCAUCUGGAGCUUUCCUCUGGCCACAGGUUCCUGUCCUUCACCUGCAGGUGAUGCAGGCCCUGGUUUCUGUGGGGACAGGGUUCGCAGAGUGCGGCUCCACUGCCAAGCUCUGUGCAAGGGCUUGGUUCUUCCCUACCUGUCAGUCCUGAUGGCUCUGUCUGCUUGUCUGUCUGCC
Molecule: long non-coding RNA, 2638 nt
Filed under: Marmota monax (woodchuck)
Lineage: Eukaryota; Metazoa; Chordata; Mammalia; Rodentia; Sciuridae
Source: RNAcentral